Long non-coding RNA from Microplitis demolitor, 446 nucleotides. RefSeq lists it as uncharacterized. Lineage: Eukaryota; Metazoa; Arthropoda; Insecta; Hymenoptera; Braconidae. The transcript is spliced from 3 exons. The record is from RefSeq and is a predicted model, not a curated record.
AACCACAUGGUGAACAGUAGAUUGUUAAUUACAAAUUAUAUAAAACAAUUACACUUAAACAAUAAAAUAAUUGACAAAAAAAUAUUUAAAUAUUUGAAAAUAUUAAAACUGGAAUUAUAUACAACAACAAUUACUUCUAAAUUAAAACUUUAGACGUUACUGAAAAUUGGGAUCCUCGUGGAUGUUUUCACGAGGCCGAUAAAUCCGCUGUUGGGGAUAAGGUUGCUCCUCGACAUCAAGGAGAUCGUGGGGGUUCUCCCUCCUGAGCUCGAGGUGGUGGAACAGUACUUUCGAGCCUCCUGGCCCUCUACGCCUCCUCGGGUUCAUUUGGAGGCGCCUAACAGCGGAGAGAUUUAGGUCUUAGCUACCAGCCUAAUUGAAAUGGCUGAGGACCGGAUGAGAGCUGACUUGCCGAGGGCCCCCGAGGAGGAUAAAUCAUCUCCAGC